Pocillopora verrucosa is the source of this 1172-nucleotide non-coding RNA. The record is from RefSeq and is a predicted model, not a curated record. NCBI's taxonomy places the organism in Eukaryota, Metazoa, Cnidaria, Anthozoa, Scleractinia, Pocilloporidae.
CUUUGUUAUUGUAACCUUUAUUUAAUGUUUGAUUCAGGGGUGAUAUAUAUUAUGAAGAAUAAUUAGAUGCUAGUCCCUCUCAGGUGUAAAAGAGUUAACACAGUCUCAGUUCUGGAGGAAAUUGUAGUAACACUGUUGCAACUCUUCUAAAUGUAGAGUAUUGUUGUACAUGUAGUUAUUUCUCAUGGGGUGUCUUUCCUGGAUGGAAAUUUCAUCCUGUAUCUUUCAGAUGUAAAAAAGUGAAGUUCUUAACAAAAAACGUUUUGUGCUUUUUGUUUUGUUGUAGGCAUCCUCACUUGAUGUAAAAAAAUCUGCAGCAAGGAAGUUCAUUGAUUUUGUGAACAAUGGUCCCUAGCCUUACCAUGUUGUCAAUGAGUGCAGAAAGGUGUUAUCAGCAGCAGGAUUUAAACAGCUCAAGGAAAAAGAGCACUGGGAUAUCAAGCCUUCUGAUAAGGAAGUGUGUGUGUGUGUGUGACAUGAUUCUCCAUGUGGAACCACUAUAGGCCCCAUCCUGUGUGCCAAGCUUGGUUUAUUAACCUUAGCCAUUGGCGGUCCCCAGUUAGCAAUGUAAUCCAUCCGAGAAAUGUACUGCUCCUCCAUUGUACAUCAGGAGACACUGCUAUUCAAGAGUUUCUUUGAGACACUUCCAACAGUACUGGAUUCCGUAGUAGGAGCUGACUAAAGUCAAGCCAAAGGCGUUCCUGAGCUACUUUUGCAUGAAUCCUCUUCCCAAACUCUGUUUAAAUGGUUUUUGCUUGAAAAACAAUGUAGGUUCAACUCAGCGAAGCAAACAAGAUACUUAGUCAAAAGAAAAGGGACAUAAUCCCAGCACAAUCAAUGUAAAAAUUGUGUAACAAGGGAAGGGGUAGAAGACGGGAGCACGUAAACAAGAGAUAGUAUUCAAACAGUGUAUCCUGAAAACUUUCUCAUUUAUCCAUUGUCCAUUAUAAUCAGGCAGGACGUAUACAGGCAUAAAACGGUGGUUCAAACUUGCGGUUUCUUCAAAAUUUUCAGAGGUUACUUUGUGGCAAAAUCAUGCCAAAUCUAAUAUAUCUCAGAGAAUAGAACCGAUAGUUAUCUUUUAGAUACUUAAAUUGGACACGAAAGUCUGAGGAUGCAGCCAACUCGUAAGUAGAGAAGUGAGUACCGCGACAAAUGAAAUAAAAACGAAA